RNAcentral lists this ribosomal RNA (429 nucleotides) under Acidobacteriota bacterium. RNAcentral describes it as "Acidobacteria bacterium partial 16S ribosomal RNA". It matches the Rfam family "Bacterial small subunit ribosomal RNA", at positions 355 to 776 of the family's 1533-position model. Lineage: Bacteria; Pseudomonadati; Acidobacteriota. The record is from RNAcentral.
UGGGGAAUUUUGGACAAUGGGGGAAACCCUGAUCCAGCCAUCCCGCGUGUGCGAUGAAGGCCCUCGGGUUGUAAAGCACUUUUGGCAGGAAAGAAACGUCAUGGGUUAAUACCCCGUGAAACUGACGGUACCUGCAGAAUAAGCACCGGCUAACUACGUGCCAGCAGCCGCGGUAAUACGUAGGGUGCAAGCGUUAAUCGGAAUUACUGGGCGUAAAGCGUGCGCAGGCGGUUCGGAAAGAAAGAUGUGAAAUCCCAGAGCUCAACUUUGGAACUGCAUUUUUAACUACCGGGCUAGAGUGUGUCAGAGGGAGGUGGAAUUCCGCGUGUAGAAGUGAAAUGCGUAGAUAUGCGGAGGAACACCGAUGGCGAAGGCAGCCUCCUGGGAUAACACUGACGCUCAUGCACGAAAGCGUGGGGAGCAAACAGG